CAGUCGCCGCGGUAAUUCGUAGGGUGCGAGCGUUAAUCGGAAUUACUGGGCGUAAAGCGGGCGCAGACGGUUACUUAAGCAGGAUGUGAAAUCCCCGGGCUCAACCUGGGAAUUGCGUUCUGAACUGGGUGGCUAGAGUGUGUCAGAGGGGGGUAGAAUUCCACGUGUAGCAGUGAAAUGCGUAGAGAUGUGGAGGAAUACCGAUGGCGAAGGCAGCCCCCUGGGAUAGCACUGACGUUCAUGCCCGAAGGCGUGGGUAGCAAACAGGAUUAGAUACCCGAGUAGUCCCUGUCUCUUAUAC
Molecule: ribosomal RNA, 301 nt
Filed under: uncultured bacterium
Lineage: Bacteria
Description: partial 16S ribosomal RNA
Rfam family: Bacterial small subunit ribosomal RNA
Source: RNAcentral